GAUGAGCUCAUUGUAAUAUGAGCUUCAUUUAUACAUUUCAUAUUACCAUUAGCUCAUCUU
This 60-nucleotide microRNA precursor is filed under the name Homo sapiens (human). Its description in RNAcentral is "Hsa-Mir-556_pre stem-loop". The record is from RNAcentral. Lineage: Eukaryota; Metazoa; Chordata; Mammalia; Primates; Hominidae.